GGGGAAUUAGCUCAAAUGGUAGAGUGCUUGCUUAGCAUGCGAGCGGUAGUGGGAUCGAUGCCCACAUUCUCCA
Molecule: non-coding RNA, 73 nt
Organism: Salmo salar (Atlantic salmon)
Lineage: Eukaryota; Metazoa; Chordata; Actinopteri; Salmoniformes; Salmonidae
Source: Rfam